GGUUCAUGAAUAUUGCAACCAUUACACAAAGUACAUGGUGUCAUCGAACAAGAAAGAAAGCUUCUUAUGACCUCCAAAGUUUAAUAUAUAAAAAAAGCGGCAGAGAGGUAACUUACUGCAGCUAUACCAUCUUGCUGUCAAAAUACUUGGCAUUAAACUGAGAACCCUCUAGCGCCAUUCCACCACCCAGGAUAGCCAAAAGCUGGUAGAUACGAAAAAAACUUGGAAAUUAUGUAUCACAGUUGGUAGCUUUUAGUUAAGUAAAUACAAGUGAGCAUUCAAAAGCAUCAGUACCAAAGCUAGGAUUUGAUAGAUUCAUAGAAAGAUAUGGAAGCAACUUAAGGCACCAUGAGCUAGGCAGAACACUGAUAACGAUUGCAAACUUGUUGUACAUGUCUAGUUAUGUCGUUACCUCACUGUAAAAGAUAUUCUCACCGUCAGAACCCAACAAUGCUUGAGACUUGAAGAACAUUUCUUCCUUUGUCCGUUUAUACUGAAGACCUGAUAGUUAGACUAUGUUAGUUAUGUGAUUCUGGAAGAAAAGGAUAAAAAUGGUUCAGAGAAAAAAAGGUAAAUAAAAAGAAGAAAUUUGAUCAACUUGAUUACCAAAGUCGUAUUGACUUAUAUACAUUACUAAAAUAACGAUUUGAACGACUUGUUCGACUAAUAUUUCUAGGGCUAGCAUUUGAUUUUGAACACAUAUAAUCUCUAGUAUACUUUUCACUUCUUCCACAAUCCGUGCUUGUUGCUUGGGUAGGUGACCACCGAAUAAUAUGACAAGCCAACAAUACUGAAACUUUGUAUACACAAAACCUUAAUUUCCAACCAUCUGGAGGAAACAACUCUAUUCAACCCUGAACUCUUGUGUGUAGAGUUGCUUAUGGAUUAGGUAGUUCAUGCAGUAGCAUGGCACGGAGAAAUUUAGUUGUUCCCAAUAGACAUGUCCUCUCUUGUGCAGCGCCAUACAUCACCUACAAUCUGAAUUCCACGGGGC
This 994-nucleotide long non-coding RNA is filed under the name Triticum aestivum (bread wheat). Its description in RNAcentral is "long non-coding RNA (TAES_LNC005666)". The record is from RNAcentral. Lineage: Eukaryota; Viridiplantae; Streptophyta; Magnoliopsida; Poales; Poaceae.